UUUUCAUACCCUACAAUACUCAUCUCAUAUGUAUAUACUGUACUCCAUACCAUCUAUUACAUCUUGCCUAUGCCAUUCGGCCAUCACUCAUUUUUUUUUUUUUAUGUACAUAUUCGUAUUCAUUCCUUUACACUUGUGUGUACAAGGUAGUUGUUGUGGAAUUGGUAGAUUACUUGUUAGAUAUUCCUGAAUGGUCGGAACUAGAAGCACAAGCAUUUCGCUACACUUGCAUUAACACCUGCUAACCAUGUGUAUGUGACAAAUAAAUUUGAUUUGAUUUGAUUUUGAUAGGAAGAAGAGAGAUCAUGAUACAGAAAGCAGUCUUGUAAAGAAAGCAGAAAGAGGGCCAAGGUAUCCAUCUCAAUGAACCAUGGCGUACCUGGAAGUACUGACACGCUUGUUGUCGGAGAGUCAAAGAAUGCAUUUGGCAUUAUGGCUGCAAGGAUUCUUAGUCGUCCAAUCAGUGUACCCCUGAAAUGGUCAUGUGUGGCUCUCCACAACUCUCUGUCCUCCACGGAUGAAGC
This 524-nucleotide long non-coding RNA is filed under the name Salmo salar (Atlantic salmon). RNAcentral describes it as "lncRNA (ENSSSAG00000085370.1, ENSSSAG00020081390.1, ENSSSAG00075059335.1)". Lineage: Eukaryota; Metazoa; Chordata; Actinopteri; Salmoniformes; Salmonidae. The record is from RNAcentral.